Molecule: RNase P RNA, 409 nt
Filed under: pig gut metagenome
Description: Bacterial RNase P class A
Rfam family: Bacterial RNase P class A
About the family: Ribonuclease P (RNase P) is a ubiquitous endoribonuclease, found in archaea, bacteria and eukarya as well as chloroplasts and mitochondria. Its best characterised activity is the generation of mature 5'-ends of tRNAs by cleaving the 5'-leader elements of precursor-tRNAs.
Source: RNAcentral
GGCAGUCGGAUAGCUGCGUUGCGGAAAGUAAAAUCCGUUAAUGAGGAAAGUCCGGGCUUCACGGAAACAAGAUACCAGAUAACGUCUGGCUGGAGAAAUCCACGGGAAAGUGCCGCAGAAAAUUACCGCCGAGAUUUUUAUUUCGGUAAGGUUGAAAAGGCGAGGUAAGAGCUCACCGCGUAGGCAGUAAUGUUUAUGGCAAGGUAAACCCUAUCUGAUGUAAGACCAAAUUAGGAGGCUUUAAUUUUUUAGUUAAACGCAAGGAUUGUUUCCGGUCCGCUCCAGAGGUAGGUCGCACCAGUCAAGCGGUGACGCUUGGCGCAGAUGAAUAGCUAUCGCACAACUCUUUAUGCUCCUUUGUUGGGUAUAAAGCAAAUAGUGUACAGAACUCGGCUUAUAGAUUGCCUUC